This 25-nucleotide non-coding RNA is filed under the name Mus musculus (house mouse). Lineage: Eukaryota; Metazoa; Chordata; Mammalia; Rodentia; Muridae. The record is from RNAcentral.
UUGCUUCAUACUGAUAGAAACCUGA